AGCUGCCCACGUGGCUGUGUACGAGGCUGAAGCUGCCCACGUGGCUGUGUACGAGGCUGAAGCUGCCCACGUGGCCACGAGGCUGAAGCUGCCCACGUGGCUGUGUACGAGGCUGAAGCUGCCCACGUGGCUGUGUACGAGGCUGAAGCUGCCCACGUGGCUGUGUACGAGGCUGAAGGCCCACGUGGCUGUGUACGAGGCUGAAGGGGCCCACGUGGCUGUGUACGAGGCUGAAGGGGCCCACGUGGCUGUGUACGAGGCUGAAGGGGCCCACGUGGCUGUGUACGAGGCUGAAGGUGCCCACGUGGCUGUAAGACGUCUCUAAGUCAUACUGCGUCUGGUGUGUGAGGGGCUCCUUGUAAGAAUGUGAAAAUAAAAGGGGAACUGUUUCUUCAGAGCGGUCAGUGAAGCACUACGCAAUCCAUUAUAUGGAUGAGGACAGUCUGGGAAACCUUUUUGAUAUGGUAAACUGCAAAGGGAACGAGAUUCAAGGUGGCGUUUGAUAACUUUUUUUUUUUCGAUUGGGACAGGUGCACGCUUCUCAGAGAUCACACGUGUCCCACAAUCGGCAGCCUUGAAAAGGGUCAUAUUGACAAUCCGACCCAUGAACCAGAUGGUUGGGGAUGAAGAUCUGGAACAUCAACCAGGUGUCAGAUAUGCCACACACUGUGUAGAUUAGUAAAGACAUAGGUGGAUAGCGUAUACAAUCACUGUCAUAUCGCUUGGUACAUGUGCCAUUACAAAGUGCUUGUGGUGUUGUAUUCAAUGUACACAUGUGAAUAAAGACAAUAUUGUUCAGAGAUGGAAUAACCAGUCACAUGCAUUGAAAUAGUACAAUACAUCCAUAACCACAGCAGGACAUAGUGACAGUAUCCAUUUUCAAAGAACACAACCUCUAUUGCGCCCAGAAAAUAAUCAAAGGGGUUGGUAUAGUUAGGCCUCCAUAGAUGACCACCUAGUCAUCUCCCUCCUCGUCAUCGGCCAUAUACUUGAGAGAAUGAUAAAUAAUAACAUUACACUUCGCUUGUGUAUAACCUGUUGGUAAUCACCGUAUAUACACACACUACCAUGUCAUCGUCUGCGUUGUUGAGCUCGGGAUGAGGUAAUGCUGGGUGAGGUUGAGGCUGUGCAUGGUUGAGGACCUCUGGGUGAAACAGUGGAUGCUCUUGUUCCAAGACAAGGUUCCUAGGUCCCUCCUCGUCAGAAGAUAGUAUGUAGUCACUCUCCUGAAUGUGCAUUAAAGGCGCUCUCCUGAAUGUGCAUUAAAGGCGCUCUCCUGAAUGUGCAUUAAAGGCGCUCUCCUGAAUGUGCAUUAAAGGC
Oncorhynchus tshawytscha (Chinook salmon) is the source of this 1320-nucleotide long non-coding RNA. The record is from Ensembl. Lineage: Eukaryota; Metazoa; Chordata; Actinopteri; Salmoniformes; Salmonidae.